UGGGCACUGGGAGAGGCAGGGAGCCUGCAUUUAGACUUCCUCUCAGCUUGCAGGAUGUACCACAUGUUAAGAGGGUCUUAGGCUACCUGUAUACAAGUAAUUUUCAAUGCUUUUCAUCUAAGUCUAAAAGCUGACCCAUCCUUUAAAAGUAUGUGCUCAGUAAGUCACCAGAAAGUGGCAUGGAGCAGAGGAUUGUUUAAUUAGGGGUGCUGAGUCACUUUGGGGACCUGGAGGCUCUGUCUUUGACUAGGCAAAGUGUUUGCUCCAAGCCUUUCCUCUGCCCAAAUCUGUGAAGAUCUAGUUGCACCUUGGAACUUUCAGCACCAAGGCGCCAAGUGAACUGCCAUGAACAACAAGAUAUGCACAACACCCACCAGGCAUGCAUGUGCUCUCUCUGAGCACUGGUGCAGAUUUCCCUUGUCCUUAAGCAUGACCUUCAUUCUCAAGGCUCCCUUAUCUUCAGCCAUGCCCGUGUCCUCAAGUAUUCCUCUUCAUCUCAAAUGCCUGCUGUGCUGCUCACUAUCACAGCUGCAUUCCAGAAUCAAAAACAAAAACCAAUCAAAAAGGAGCCAUCGGAAGACCCACCCAGGGCAAAUGCAGACUGUCUUCAUGCGGAGAUAUCACCUGCAGGUGCAUGGGUUGCCCUUGGAUACUGCUGUAACAAGAUUUCUUUUCUCCAAAGACAGAAAGGCUGGAUUGUGGCCAGAGCUUCCAGGCCAACGAGCUCUGAGGUCUCAGCCCAGCUGGGUGUCUUGCUGCCGUUUCUGAAGUGGCUCAUGUUCCACAAGACAGAGUGAGCCAGGAGAUGCCACCAUUCAGGGAACCUUCUGAGGGCCAACAAUAUGAUAACAACUCCCCAGGGGCAGGCACACGGAGGCAAGACUGGGCACCUCUCUCCCUGCUUUUCCAAGAGGAAUAAAUAACUCUUUAUCCAAACCCAAGGCUGAUGUUUAUCUUUUAGCUUGUGGAAACAUGGAAAGAACAACAACAGCUUCCUGCUCUGUUGAGAAAUUUGAAGCUUAAAACAAUGAGCUGGCAUUUGUGAGG
Long non-coding RNA from Heterocephalus glaber (naked mole-rat), 1047 nucleotides. The record is from Ensembl. Lineage: Eukaryota; Metazoa; Chordata; Mammalia; Rodentia; Bathyergidae.